UGGGGACUUGCUCCCUGAGAUUAGCGGCGGACGGGUGAGUAACACGUGGGCAACCUGCCUAUAAGACUGGGAUAACUUCGGGAAACCGGAGCUAAUACCGGAUACGUUCUUUUCUCGCAUGAGAGAAGAUGGAAAGACGGUUUACGCUGUCACUUAUAGAUGGGCCCGCGGCGCAUUAGCUAGUUGGUGAGGUAAUGGCUCACCAAGGCGACGAUGCGUAGCCGACCUGAGAGGGUGAUCGGCCACACUGGGACUGAGACACGGCCCAGACUCCUACGGGAGGCAGCAGUAGGGAAUCUUCCGCAAUGGACGAAAGUCUGACGGAGCAACGCCGCGUGAACGAAGAAGGCCUUCGGGUCGUAAAGUUCUGUUGUUAGGGAAGAACAAGUACCAGAGUAACUGCUGGUACCUUGACGGUACCUAACCAGAAAGCCACGGCUAACUACGUGCCAGCAGCCGCGGUAAUACGUAGGUGGCAAGCGUUGUCCGGAAUUAUUGGGCGUAAAGCGCGCGCAGGUGGUUCCUUAAGUCUGAUGUGAAAGCCCACGGCUCAACCGUGGAGGGUCAUUGGAAACUGGGGAACUUGAGUGCAGAAGAGGAAAGUGGAAUUCCAAGUGUAGCGUAAGG
This 627-nucleotide ribosomal RNA is filed under the name Peribacillus simplex. RNAcentral's name for it is "bacterial SSU rRNA". It matches the Rfam family "Bacterial small subunit ribosomal RNA", at positions 73 to 685 of the family's 1533-position model. The record is from RNAcentral. Lineage: Bacteria; Bacillati; Bacillota; Bacilli; Caryophanales; Bacillaceae.